This 72-nucleotide transfer RNA is filed under the name Camelus bactrianus (Bactrian camel). It matches the Rfam family "tRNA". From Rfam's summary of the family: Transfer RNA (tRNA) molecules are approximately 80 nucleotides in length. Lineage: Eukaryota; Metazoa; Chordata; Mammalia; Artiodactyla; Camelidae. RNAcentral also lists the same sequence under 3 other names. The record is from Rfam by way of RNAcentral.
GAGAGUAUAGCUCAGUGGUAGAGCACAUGCUUAGCAUGCACAAGGUCCUGGGUUCAAUCCCCAGUACCUCCA